GCGGCCGCGCUGGUUCUCCUUGAGGUCCAGGUAGUACUUGCGGUUCUCGCGCACCAGGAACUCGCUCUUGAGCGCGCGGCGCGGCCCGCCGCCCUCCUCGGCGCCCGCCGCCAGCUGCUCGGGGCUGCUGGGACCCAGCUGCGCGUAGUGCUCGAUGAAGUCGCCCAGCGAGUCGCGGAACUCGGCGGCCACCGCCAUCGACAGCGUGAGGCGGCUCUUGGAGCCGCCCGCGCCCACCUCGGCGAUCUUGAGGAAGCGGCCCUUGGCGUUCUGCUUCACGUCCAGGAUCAGAAAAGAAGCCCACAGCAAGUCCACCCAAGCCUUGCAUAUACCUCAGUACUGCUCUGUCCUCAGAGUACAAAAAGAGGACCCAGGUUUGAGUCUCAGAA
This 389-nucleotide long non-coding RNA is filed under the name Mus pahari (shrew mouse). Its description in RNAcentral is "lncRNA (MGP_PahariEiJ_G0002428.1)". Lineage: Eukaryota; Metazoa; Chordata; Mammalia; Rodentia; Muridae. The record is from RNAcentral.